RNAcentral lists this ribosomal RNA (395 nucleotides) under uncultured bacterium. RNAcentral's name for it is "bacterial SSU rRNA". It matches the Rfam family "Bacterial small subunit ribosomal RNA", at positions 28 to 429 of the family's 1533-position model. The record is from RNAcentral.
GACGAACGCUGGCGGCGUGCUUAACACAUGCAAGUCGAGCGGUAAGGCCCUUUCGGGGGUACACGAGCGGCGAACGGGUGAGUAACACGUGGGUGACCUGCCCUCAGCUCUGGGAUAAGCCUGGGAAACUGGGUCUAAUACUGGAUAUGACUCCACGGUGCAUGUCGUGGGGUGGAAAGCCUUGUGCGGCUGAGGAUGGGCCCGCGGCCUAUCAGCUUGUUGGGGGGUGAUGGCCUACCAAGGCGACGACGGGUAGCCGGCCUGAGAGGGCGACCGGCCACACUGGGACUGAGACACGGCCCAGACUCCUACGGGAGGCAGCAGUGGGGAAUCUUGCGCAAUGGGCGAAAGCCUGACGCAGCGACGCCGCGUGAGGGAUGACGGCCUGGUGUAAC